AAAAAGAUAAGCUAAAUAAAGCUUUUAGGUUCAUACCCUAAAUAUAGGAUUAAAACCUUCUUUUUA
RNAcentral lists this transfer RNA (66 nucleotides) under Batracomorphus curvatus. Its description in RNAcentral is "tRNA-Met". The record is from RNAcentral. Lineage: Eukaryota; Metazoa; Arthropoda; Insecta; Hemiptera; Cicadellidae.